RNAcentral lists this non-coding RNA (30 nucleotides) under Mus musculus (house mouse). Lineage: Eukaryota; Metazoa; Chordata; Mammalia; Rodentia; Muridae. The record is from RNAcentral.
UAUGGGUGACCUCUUGUGAGUGCAAGUGGU